UGCAUCGGCCGGGAAUCGAACCCGCGUGGCAGGCGAGCAUUUUACCACUUAACCACCGAUGC
Molecule: transfer RNA, 62 nt
Filed under: Cordylochernes scorpioides
Lineage: Eukaryota; Metazoa; Arthropoda; Arachnida; Pseudoscorpiones; Chernetidae
Description: tRNA-Ser
Source: RNAcentral